This 322-nucleotide ribosomal RNA is filed under the name uncultured Actinomycetes bacterium. RNAcentral describes it as "bacterial SSU rRNA". It matches the Rfam family "Bacterial small subunit ribosomal RNA", at positions 62 to 387 of the family's 1533-position model. Lineage: Bacteria; Bacillati; Actinomycetota; Actinomycetes. The record is from RNAcentral.
CCGAGCGAUGAAGCACCUUCGGGUGUGAAUCAGCGGCGAACGGGUGAGGAACACGUGAGAAAUCUGCCUUCAACACUGGGAUAACUCCGGGAAACCGGGGCUAAUACCGGAUAUGAAAUCUGCGGGCAUCCGCGGAUUUGGAAAGUUUUUCGGUUGAAGAUGAUCUCGCGGCCUAUCAGCUUGUUGGUGAGGUAAUGGCUCACCAAGGCGACGACGGGUAGCCGGCCUGAGAGGGUGACCGGCCACACUGGGACUGAGACACGGCCCAGACUCCUACGGGAGGCAGCAGUGGGGAAUAUUGCACAAUGGGCGAAAGCCUGAU